CCUACGGGUUGUUUUCGUGGGGAAUAUUGGACAAUGGGGGCAACCCUGAUCCAGCCAUGCCGCGUGUGUGAAGAAGGCCCUCGGGUUGUAAAGAACUUUCAGUGAGGAAGAACUCCUGGUGGUUAAUACCCAUCAGGAAAGACAUCACUCACAGAAGAAGCACCGGCUAACUCCGUGCCAGCAGCCGCGGUAAUACGGAGGGUGCGAGCGUUAAUCGGAAUUACUGGGCGUAAAGCGCGCGUAGGUGGCUUGAUAAGCCGGUUGUGAAAGCCCCGGGCUCAACCUGGGAACGGCAUCCGGAACUGUCAAGCUAGAGUGCAGGAGAGGCAGAUAGAAUUCCCGGUGUAGCGGUAAAAUGCGUAGAGAUCGGGAGGAAUACCAGUGGCGAAGGCGGCCUUCUGGACUGAAACUGACACUGAGGUGCGAAAGCGUGGGUAGCAAACAGGAUUAGAUACCCUGGUAGUC
RNAcentral lists this ribosomal RNA (465 nucleotides) under Vreelandella stevensii. Its description in RNAcentral is "partial 16S ribosomal RNA". It matches the Rfam family "Bacterial small subunit ribosomal RNA", at positions 338 to 795 of the family's 1533-position model. The record is from RNAcentral. Lineage: Bacteria; Pseudomonadati; Pseudomonadota; Gammaproteobacteria; Oceanospirillales; Halomonadaceae.